AACAGCUAGGGUGCAGGUGCAGUCUAUUCUCAUGUUCUGGAAAAUGAUCUUUCCUGGGGGUAUGUUCAGAUGAAUGCAAGUGCCCACAAAGACAAGAAGAGCAUUGGAACUCCAGGAAUUGGAGCUAUGGGCAGUGAACUGGAUUAUCAUAUCAACUGCAGCAGGAACAACAGAAUAAAUUAUUGCAAACAAUGUCAAAAGUAACUAAGGGAGAAACUGUCCAUCUAUUUUCUGUGCCCUCCACCCAGGCCUAAGCAGGCCU
Arvicanthis niloticus (Nile rat) is the source of this 262-nucleotide non-coding RNA. NCBI's taxonomy places the organism in Eukaryota, Metazoa, Chordata, Mammalia, Rodentia, Muridae. The record is from RefSeq and is a predicted model, not a curated record.